Molecule: ribosomal RNA, 1418 nt
Filed under: metagenome
Description: bacterial SSU rRNA
Rfam family: Archaeal small subunit ribosomal RNA
Source: RNAcentral
GGAGAUCGCUGCUAUCAGAAUUCGACUUAACUAAGCUAGUUUGGGGCUCUUCGGAGCACCGGCGGACAGUUCCGUAACACGUCGAUAAUCUACCCUUAGGUCGGGGAUAACUUCGGGAAACUGAGGCUAAUACCUGAUAGAAGAAAAAUACUGGAAUGUGUUUUCUUCUAAAAUCACUGCCCAAGGAUGAGUCGGCGCCCGAUUAGGUCGUUGGUGGGGUAAUGGCCCACCAAGCCGAAGAUCGGUAGGGGCCUUGAGAGAGGCAGCCUCGAGGAGGACACUGAGAUAAGGGUCCUGACUCUACGGAGUAUAGCAAGUGCGAAAACUUUACAAUACACGAAAGUGUGAUAAGGGAAUUCUGAGUGCCUAUGUAUUGCAUAGGCUUUUGCCAAGAGUAAAUAUCUUGGAGAAUAAGUGGUGGGCAAGACUGGUGCCAGCAGCCGCGGUAACACCAGCGCCACAAGUGGGGAUCACUAUUAUUGGGCCUAAAGCGUUCGUAGCCGGUUGAGUGAAUCUUUUGUGAAAUCGUUAGGCUUAACCUAACGGCGUGCAGAAGACACUGCUCAACUUGGGACCGGGAGGAGUCAGAGGUAUUUGAGGGGUAGCGGUAAAAUGCAAUAAUCCCUUGAGGACCACCAGUGGCGAAGGCGUCUGACUAGAACGGGUCUGACGGUGAGGAACGAAAGCCAAGGGAGCGAACCGGAUUAGAUACCCGAGUAGUCUUGGCUGUAAACGCUGCGAGCUAGGUGUUGCAUAUUCUACAGGAAUAUGCAGUGUCGUAGUGAAGAUGUUAAGCUCGCCGCCUGGGAAGUACGGUCGCAAGACUGAAACUUAAAGGAAUUGGCGGGGGAGCACAACAAGGGGUGCGGCGUGCGGUUUAAUCCAACUCAACGCGGAGAAUCUCACCAGAGGCGACGGCAGGAUGAAGGUCAGGUUGAAGACUUUACCUAACAAGCCAGAGGUGGUGCAUGGCCGUCGUCAGCUCGUGCCGUGAGGUGUCCUGUUAAGUCAGGCAACGAGCGAGACCUGUACUUACAAUUGCCAACUGCUCAUUUAUGAGGACAGGGCACAAUGUAAGGACUGCCUUGGUAACAAGGAGGAAGGUGCAGGCAACGGUAGGUCUGUAUGCCCCGAAUCCUCUGGGCUACACGCGCGCAACAAUGGUAAGGACAAUGGGAUGCAACUCCGAAAGGAGAAGCUAAACCUCUAAACCUUAUCCCAGUCCAGAUUGAGGGCUGUAACUCGUCCUCAUGACGUUGGAAUCCCUAGUAACCGGACUUUAGCAUAGUCCGGUGAAUAUGUCCCUGCUCCUUGCACACACCGCCCGUCAAGCCAACCGAGCAGGGUUUAGGUAAAACUUAGUUCAUUAAUUAAGUUGAAUCUAAGCUCAGUGAGGUGGGCUAAGUCGUCACAAGGUA